CAACCUGCCCACCACUUGGGGAUAACCUUGCGAAAGUAAGACUAAUACCCAAUGACGUCUCUAGAAGACAUCUGAAAGAGAUUAAAGAUUUAUCGGUGAUGGAUGGGGAUGCGUCUGAUUAGCUUGUUGGCGGGGUAACGGCCCACCAAGGCAACGAUCAGUAGGGGUUCUGAGAGGAAGGUCCCCCACAUUGGAACUGAGACACGGUCCAAACUCCUACGGGAGGCAGCAGUGAGGAAUAUUGGUCAAUGGACGAGAGUCUGAACCAGCCAAGUAGCGUGCAGGAUGACGGCCCUAUGGGUUGUAAACUGCUUUUAUAAGGGAAUAAAGUGAGUCUCGUGAGGCUUUUUGCAUGUACCUUAUGAAUAAGGACCGGCUAAUUCCGUGCCAGCAGCCGCGGUAAUACGGAAGGUCCGGGCGUUAUCCGGAUUUAUUGGGUUUAAAGGGAGCGUAGGCCGGAGAUUAAGCGUGUUGUGAAAUGUAGACGCUCAACGUCUGCGCUGCAGCGCGAACUGGUUUCCUUGAGUGCGCACAAAGUGGGCGGAAUUCGUGGUGUAGCGGUGAAAUGCUUAGAUAUCACGAAGAACUCCGAUUG
RNAcentral lists this ribosomal RNA (595 nucleotides) under uncultured Bacteroidota bacterium. Its description in RNAcentral is "bacterial SSU rRNA". It matches the Rfam family "Bacterial small subunit ribosomal RNA", at positions 122 to 715 of the family's 1533-position model. The record is from RNAcentral. Lineage: Bacteria; Pseudomonadati; Bacteroidota.